GUGCUGGCUCUGGUGGCACAUACACUAAAACUGGAACAAUAUAGAGGUUAGCAUGGGUCCUGCACAAGAAUGACACACAAAUUCAUGAAGUGUUAAAAAAAAGAUUUUU
RNAcentral lists this small nuclear RNA (109 nucleotides) under Neotoma lepida (desert woodrat). Lineage: Eukaryota; Metazoa; Chordata; Mammalia; Rodentia; Cricetidae. The record is from RNAcentral.